This 521-nucleotide ribosomal RNA is filed under the name uncultured bacterium. RNAcentral's name for it is "bacterial SSU rRNA". It matches the Rfam family "Bacterial small subunit ribosomal RNA", at positions 8 to 527 of the family's 1533-position model. The record is from RNAcentral.
AGAGUUUGAUCAUGGCUCAGGAUGAACGCUGGCGGCGUGCUUAACACAUGCAAGUCGAACGAGAGCCAAUGGAACAAGGAUUCGUCUGAGGGAAGUUGGGGAAAGUGGCGGACGGGUGAGUAACGCGUGAGCAAUCUGCCUUGGAGUGGGGAAUAACGGCUGGAAACAGCCGCUAAUACCGCAUGAUGCAUUUGGACCGCAUGGUCUGGGUGCCAAAGAUUUAUCGCUCUGAGAUGAGCUCGCGUCUGAUUAGCUGGUUGGCGGGGUAACGGCCCACCAAGGCGACGAUCAGUAGCCGGACUGAGAGGUUGGCCGGCCACAUUGGGACUGAGACACGGCCCAGACUCCUACGGGAGGCAGCAGUGGGGAAUAUUGGGCAAUGGGCGCAAGCCUGACCCAGCAACGCCGCGUGAAGGAAGAAGGCUUUCGGGUUGUAAACUUCUUUUCUGAAGGACGAAGGAAGUGACGGUACCUCAGGAAUAAGCCACGGCUAACUACGUGCCAGCAGCCGCGGUAAUACG